RNAcentral lists this ribosomal RNA (444 nucleotides) under uncultured bacterium. RNAcentral describes it as "partial 16S ribosomal RNA". It matches the Rfam family "Bacterial small subunit ribosomal RNA", at positions 338 to 795 of the family's 1533-position model. The record is from RNAcentral.
CCUACGGGAGGCAGCAGUGGGGAAUAUUGCACAAUGGGCGAAAGCCUGAUGCAGCAACGCCGCGUGAAGGAAGAAGGGUUUCGGCUCGUAAACUUCUAUCAACAGGGACGAAAGAAAUGACGGUACCUGAAUAAGAAGCCCCGGCUAACUACGUGCCAGCAGCCGCGGUAAUACGUAGGGGGCAAGCGUUAUCCGGAAUUACUGGGUGUAAAGGGUGAGUAGGCGGUGUAGCAAGUUAGAAGUGAAAUACCUAGAGCUUAACUCAGGUGCUGCUUCUAAAACUACUAUACUUGAGUGCAGUAGAGGAAAGUGGAAUUCCUAGUGUAGCGGUGGAAUGCGUAGAUAUUAGGAGGAACAUCAGUGGCGAAGGCGACUUUCUGGACUGUAACUGACGCUGAGGCACGAAAGUGUGGGGAGCAAACAGGAUUAGAUACCCGUGUAGUC